Non-coding RNA from Gossypium hirsutum (cotton), 144 nucleotides. The record is from Rfam. NCBI's taxonomy places the organism in Eukaryota, Viridiplantae, Streptophyta, Magnoliopsida, Malvales, Malvaceae.
UAUUAAAAUUUCAUCUAUCUGUAUCGUUAAAAAUUGGCGUAAUUGAUAGAAUAACCAAACAGUGACAUAUGGUGUGCCACAUAUAUCUCUUGCUGACAUAUAGAGUCCAAUUUUUAACAGUAAAAAUGAAUAAGAUUUUUAAUA